Molecule: long non-coding RNA, 481 nt
Filed under: Mytilus galloprovincialis (Mediterranean mussel)
Lineage: Eukaryota; Metazoa; Mollusca; Bivalvia; Mytilida; Mytilidae
Source: RNAcentral
CAUUAUUUCGUUAUUAUUUAUUUAUUUAUUUGUUGUUAAUAUGCAGUACAGGGAUUCGAGGGUAUAAUCUCAGAACCUCCUCUCAAUCUCAGCCCUAUUUCCUUUUUCUAUAUUGUCGUUAGCAAAUGUUAUUUUUCAAAUGCACACUAAGGAAUCUGAUGUUCAGUAGUUGUCGUUUGCUUAUGUAGUUUAUAAGUGUUACUCGUUUCCUGUUUUUAUAUAAUAGAUUGGAUCAUUGGUUUUCCCAUUUGAAUGGUUUUACACUAGUUAUUUUUGGGGACCCUUUCUAGCUUGCUGUUCGGUUUGAGCCAAGGCUCCGCGUUGAAGACUUCACUUUGAACUCUAAUAGUUUACUUCUAUAAAUUGUGUCUUGGAUGGAGAAUUGUCUCAUUGGCACAUCUUUUUAUAUCUAUUUACAUUAUUAAAUUGUUUUGUUUCUUUUUUUUCUUGUUACCUUAUAUAUUACUAAGUUAGAAAAAUA